This 249-nucleotide transfer-messenger RNA is filed under the name Chloroflexota bacterium. RNAcentral describes it as "Chloroflexi bacterium partial transfer-messenger RNA". It matches the Rfam family "transfer-messenger RNA", at positions 111 to 374 of the family's 374-position model. Rfam says of the family: Bacterial tmRNA, also known as 10Sa RNA or SsrA, is named for its dual tRNA and mRNA-like properties. Lineage: Bacteria; Bacillati; Chloroflexota. The record is from RNAcentral.
UACGCUCUCGCUGCCUAGUCAGUGAGACGUCCUCCCGGUCUCCGCUCCGCGGGCCGGGAAGGGCGAUAUAAGCGGAGCUGCGGCCCGCCGACUGGUCGGUAGGCGGGCUCAAGUGAACCGACCUGGCGAGAACGAGGAGCGUGUCGGUGCGCGCCUCGGUCCGCGAGAUCAAAAUCGCCGACCACGCUCGUAGAAGCGAUCCGCGCGCAGGCCUUGGACGGGGAGUUCGACCCUCCCCCAUCUCCACAG